Molecule: long non-coding RNA, 1941 nt
Filed under: Toxoplasma gondii VEG
Lineage: Eukaryota; Apicomplexa; Conoidasida; Eucoccidiorida; Sarcocystidae
Source: RNAcentral
CCGACAGGUCUAGGACGGACAGUUCAGGCAGUCGUCCGCCAUCGAGACGCGAGUCUCGCCUCUCUCGCCAGGCGCAUUGUGACGGUGUUGAAAGGGCGCAUAGCUCUGCAGGCUCAGCGAGAGCAAGAGUAGAGAAGUCGUCACCUCUGGGUCGAGAGAAACAGGCCGUUCUUUCGAGAAACAGGCCGUUCUUUCGAGAAACAGGCCAUCGGUUUCUGUGACCGGCUGAGAUCACCUGUCGAGUUCGGCGUCUGCGAUUGACAGACAGAAGCAUUUGCUUGAGGGAGAGGCAAUAAGAUGAAAGAAGACGAGACACUGAGGAAAAAAGAUUGGACCUUUGAAAGCGAUUGGUACAUAAUAUCAAACCUGAUACUAAUCAACUGAGUUAAAUGAUGCAGGGUGGGUGGAAACUGAAACCUCAGAACGCCGCACAAAUCGCAGACAGGGCUGCUGCUGCACGCAGUCCCCAAAAGUGGAUCUUACUUUUUAGCGCAUGCAUUCACGAAUUAUCGGUGCCAUCUUCGCGUAACAAACGCGGUUGAAUAUGUAAUUCGGAUUCAAAUACGGAUAUACGUAUAUAUCUGCAGGAGGUGUGUCAUCUCCGUUCUCAUAAAAAAGAGGAAAGGCUCGAACGAGCGCUCUGUUGUGUACAGUCCUCAGGGAGAAGAAAAUGAUUUGAGAGCCAUGCUUUCUAUGCAGAACAAUAUGGAUUCGUUGAAACCAGUCCGCUAGGGAAUUAUAUCGGGGCAAAUCAGACGAACGACGUUGGUGUGACUAUCUGCACGUAUCGAUGUUCAUACUCAAGCAAAACGAAUACAUAUUUACGUUCAUGUAUCUGUAUAUAUAAUAUAUACAUAUAUACAAGUACAUAGAGAUACAUAUGAUUGUAUGUAUAAAUGUAUAUGCAUGGGUGUGUACAUGUAUUUGUUGAUACAAACGUAUAUGUGUGGAUCUGCAUUUGUAUACUUAUGUAUAGAAGACACACGUAUGAAUGUGCACAUGUAUAUGUGUGUAUAGAGGAUCCACGUAUGGAUAUAUAUUUACAUGUUGUAUAUGCUGUAUUUGCUUGAAUCUCGUGGGAGAGAAGCUGUAAGAGGUUGAAAAUAGGUUAUCAUCAAGAGUCGGGUUCGUUUGCGGCCUGUGUCGUUUUGCGAGCGGACAUUGUUUCUUGGGUCUCUCCAGAAAGGCUUUCUGUUUCGAGCAAAGACGGUGACGGUGCUCAGAGAUUUGACACAUAGGUCGUCUCUUCCCUCCCUAGUGUCCUUUUCACUGCAUGCAGCAGUUUUGUGGUCCCUGGAAAGGAACGGAGAGACCCAGCGCUAACGCACGAGUCGCGCUCCCAAGGAUUCUUUUCGCUUCCCAAGGCUAGUGAAAUUGGAUCGCGUGAGCAGGUACGAGAACCUCUCUUGUCCUCAUCUGAAGGCCCGCCGCGAAGACGUCAGACUCGCCCCACCUGUGUCUCACUUUAUCGACUCGGUUGUCUUAUGUCCUCCCCAAUCGAAAAUACUUCCGUUUCGAUGAGGAUGCACGUCUGCACACCUCCUUGCCCGUGUGAAUGCAGCCAUGCCUUCACGCAAGCCUCAACGUAUACGCGAUAUGUAUGUGUAUAUAUAUAUAUAUAUGUAUAUAUAUUUCUACGCGGGCAUGACUGCAUGACUUACGGGCGCUUUAUUCUCGUGUACAUGUAGAUGUAUGUAUGUGGGGCUGACGUUUGUGCAGUUUGCUCUCGCGCGUGGACGCGAUUCGAUACAUUUGUGUAACUUCGGACGCAAGGGAUUGUGGGGAAUGCUUGUGAGAAGCGGUUCGGGAGAUCGGCAAAACGCGAGGGGUCGAAGAGCCCGUUGUUUGCUCUGCUCGACGAAUUGAAACCUUUCAAGUCCGUUCGCAACCUGUAAGCCCCAGCCUCCCAAAAACGGCAAAGACGUUCCAGCCAGGAUCCAC